GUAUGCAGCCUCGGUGAAGCAGGAACCCACCGAAGCGACUCAUUGCGACUCGAUGUCGCAAUGAGCGCCGUAGGAAUCUCCGACCUUCAGGCCGGGGAGGAUGUCAAGAUCAUCAUC
RNAcentral lists this unclassified non-coding RNA (117 nucleotides) under Gulbenkiania mobilis. RNAcentral describes it as "HgcC family RNA". The record is from RNAcentral. Lineage: Bacteria; Pseudomonadati; Pseudomonadota; Betaproteobacteria; Neisseriales; Chromobacteriaceae.